UGUCUCUUACCUAAAGAAUGGGCAGCUGUGGUUUUGGAGCUGAAAAACCGACCAAGUCCAAGGUCUCCGAGUUUUACUACCCCAGUGGCUGUAAUGAACACAUUAGCUGGUUUUAUAUCUGUGAAUAAACGAAGAGAUCAGACCCUGGAGCCCCAGGUGCAAGGCUCCUUCCUGUCUCAGUGUGCAUCUUUAGCAUCCUCAAGCAAUUCCUGAAAAAGCUUCACUGAAACUAUCCAGCAUACAUUCCUAACAGAGAAGGAAAAAAAUGAUCCUGACUUGAAACAGGACCUCGAAUCAUCAGGGAAGGGAAUCUCAGAGAGAAAUGUCUGUGCUUCGGGCAUUCCUAUAAGGGCUUAUCUUAACUGGGUUAACUGAGGCUGGACAUCCCACUCAGACUACGAGCAGCACAUCUGGGCUGGGCCCUGG
RNAcentral lists this long non-coding RNA (426 nucleotides) under Mus pahari (shrew mouse). Its description in RNAcentral is "predicted gene 28501 (MGP_PahariEiJ_G0003657.1)". The record is from RNAcentral. Lineage: Eukaryota; Metazoa; Chordata; Mammalia; Rodentia; Muridae.